Molecule: long non-coding RNA, 739 nt
Filed under: Equus caballus (horse)
Lineage: Eukaryota; Metazoa; Chordata; Mammalia; Perissodactyla; Equidae
Description: lncRNA (ENSECAG00000050914.1)
Source: RNAcentral
GGCUGGCUUAGCAAGGCUGCUGCCUCCCUCAUUAGCCUGAGCCGGCCGUUCGUAAUUGUUUUAAGAUUUUGUUUGAAGAAGUUCUGCUGUAAAGAGUUUGUUGGCAAUACAGCAUAUGGAACUUACACUGCUCAGAGCAGGUAUUUAAUUAGUGUUAGUUGAAUUCGAUGGUUACUAGGAGUCUGAAGGAUGAACAGGAAGAGGAGGCUGAAUCGGGUGACCAGUCGGUUAUUAUAGUUGACUAGGGGAGAGAUUGUGAGAACUUCAUGAACUCUGGAGAGGGGCAUUGGAAAUAGACAUAUGGACGAGCCAUUUCCGGUGCCCAAACUGCCCAGGCCGGUUGAGCAGGAAUGAGCGAGUAUCAGGCCCUCAAGCUGGGUAGACCUGUGAUGAGCGGGAAGGCGGGGCUGUGGACUGAGGCCUCUGUGAGCUCUGACUCUCCCACUGACUAGCUCCGUGAUCCUGGGUCGGUAACUUGACCUCAUCCUCAUUUCUUCAGCUGUAAAAUGAGGAGACAGUGGGAAAACCAGUCCAGGCGACAAGGGCAGAAAUUCCCCAAGGAAAUAGGAAAUUUUAACAUUCACAUCUAUUGACUCACUUCAUCCUCAAGGGAGGAAACUUGGAAGCCAAAGAAAAGCAUAAAGAAAAAACAAAAUCCUCUGCUACCCAGAAAUAACCUAUCAAUAAUUUGUAUUUUUUGGUCUUUAAAAAAAAAUAAAGCUGGAAUAUGAUAUAUAAU